Molecule: ribosomal RNA, 636 nt
Filed under: bacterium TN98C
Lineage: Bacteria
Description: bacterial SSU rRNA
Rfam family: Bacterial small subunit ribosomal RNA
Source: RNAcentral
GCCGCAAGGCUAAAACUCAAAGGAAUUGACGGGGGCCCGCACAAGCGGCGGAGCAUGCGGAUUAAUUCGAUGCAACGCGAAGAACCUUACCAAGGCUUGACAUGAACCGGAAAGACCUGGAAACAGGUGCCCCGCUUGCGGUCGGUUUACAGGUGGUGCAUGGUUGUCGUCAGCUCGUGUCGUGAGAUGUUGGGUUAAGUCCCGCAACGAGCGCAACCCUCGUUCUAUGUUGCCAGCACGUGAUGGUGGGGACUCAUAGGAGACUGCCGGGGUCAACUCGGAGGAAGGUGGGGACGACGUCAAAUCAUCAUGCCCCUUAUGUCUUGGGCUUCACGCAUGCUACAAUGGCCGGUACAAAGGGUUGCGAUACUGUGAGGUGGAGCUAAUCCCAAAAAGCCGGUCUCAGUUCGGAUUGGGGUCUGCAACUCGACCCCAUGAAGUCGGAGUCGCUAGUAAUCGCAGAUCAGCAACGCUGCGGUGAAUACGUUCCCGGGCCUUGUACACACCGCCCGUCAAGUCACGAAAGUUGGUAACACCCGAAGCCGGUGGCCUAACCCCUUGUGGGAGGGAGCUGUCGAAGGUGGGACUGGCGAUUGGGANUAAGUCGUAACAAGGUAGCCGUACCGGAAGGUGCGG